UGUUCUCAACAGGUGCACUCAGCAAUUACAGACUCUUUGCAACUGCUGUGAAUUUAUCCAACUACAGAGGAUUUGUAAAAACUCAUCCAAUUCAAGAGGACCUAUGGAAACUUCCUUUGGGCCGCAGGCUCCUUUGAUGCCCUCAUGAAAGCUCUGGAUUGUCCCUGCAGGAAGCUUACACAUGCACGUACGUACAAGCCUUGACAUAUCAUUUCAAGGACCCUCUGACAACACAGCCAUAGAUACCCUACCUCCUGCAGAAGACGUGAGGGUUACGGAUGUUCCACGAGAUGAAGGAACUUGCUCCGGAUGAAACCGCUUCUAAGGAGCCUUUUAACCAGGAUGUAAACGCUCACAGCCUACUUCAUUAAAAUGUAAAAAUAUACUAAGUAUGGAAAAUAUAGGAAAGAAACAAAGACCGCUUGACUUCUGGAAAUUGACUCUUAGAGCUCAGCCCUGGUGUUGUUGGGACUGCCUCGCGACCCGCAGCUCAGCCAGGGUGUCGUGCUGUGGGACUCAGCCUCUCGGAAAACCAGCAGCGGACACACCACACCAGCUGUGGUGAGCAGUGAGUAAUGUCCAGGUUUGCCCAA
This is a long non-coding RNA of Mustela erminea (ermine), 593 nucleotides long. RefSeq lists it as uncharacterized. The transcript has 3 exons. The record is from RefSeq and is a predicted model, not a curated record. Lineage: Eukaryota; Metazoa; Chordata; Mammalia; Carnivora; Mustelidae.